This 811-nucleotide long non-coding RNA is filed under the name Scleropages formosus (Asian bonytongue). RNAcentral describes it as "lncRNA (ENSSFOG00015026287.1)". Lineage: Eukaryota; Metazoa; Chordata; Actinopteri; Osteoglossiformes; Osteoglossidae. The record is from RNAcentral.
CGAAAAACUCAGUACGCAUCACAGAUUUGUUAAUGUUCUGUAACACAUUUACAUUUUACAUUUAUUAAUUUAGCAGACUCCAAAGCGAUGUACAUCUGGAAAAAAAAUACAAUCUGUGCAUAAGAGAGAGAGAGAGAGAGAGAGAGAGAGAGAGAGAGAGAUGGCUGCAGACAUGUGACCUUAUUUAAACCUAGCUGAAACACACUGUGUUUCACCAGUGAAGCCCUACAACUACUCGCGACUCCCCCGUGGGACAAGUGCGCCAAAGCUCUCUCCCGGAAGCGUGUGACGCAAUUGGAAUGAAAAGCGCGCGUGGCGGAUGGGUGGCGUUCAGUUCUUUUCCUGCGAUACUGGUGGAUACUUCGGGAAAGUACAUAUAGUCAUUUCUAGAGCUUCCAGCUGUUGACCAACAAUGUCUGGUAAUCUACCUUUAGAGACAAACACACAUCCUGCUGCAACAUCUGAGGGGUCCAUUAGUGUUACUAAUGGUUCUGUGGUCACUGGAUCCCGGUUGACUAGCUGUAUAGUUGGAGGCUCCGUCACCAACCGUGUCAGAGCUCUGUUAUCUGCUAGUGGAAAUCAGACUUCCCUGAACUCUACCACCAGCAGUCCUUCUAGAAGUGUCAUUACUGGAUCCAGUUUGAUGGACUGUGAAGUUGGGGGCUCUGUCACAAACAGUGUCAUGGUACAGAGACAUAGCUGUGAAACUGGUUCUAAUUUGACUCACUGUAAAGUUGGGGGUUCUGUUGAAAACACUGUCACUGAACUGCCUACUGGUGGUAGGUGUUACCUUCUUACAUCGCAUAGAUGA